AAUUUAAUUAUUGCAUUAUUUUUUCUCCUCAUAUAUUUUCUGGAUAGCAGCAGUCCGACCUUUAGUGAUGUGAAGGGUCAUCUUCAGUAUCCAGAUCUCUGUGGCUGCUGCGUUGCAGGAGCACUCAGUGAUGAGGAAGAGCGGAGAUGUCGAUAGGUGCCGGUCUAAUCCCUGCUCCUACAAUUCCUCGCCAAGUUCUGCUUGCUUUCAGUGAAUGGAAACAUUCUUGCUCAGUCGCACCCAGAGUUCUGUGCAUGUCCAACUGACACAGGAGAGGGGCUGGUUGUCAUAGAGGAGGAAAUUUGAAGAGAGUAACACAGGACCACAGGAUCUGACUACACUGGAGCUUUAAAGUCGCCCAUCUAUCUUUUCUGCCCUCCUGCCCUUUUGUAGAUGGCAUCAACCAUAUUUCAGCUAACGCAUGUUGGUGCACGACGCCACAGAGGGGCAGAAUUUUCAGCUGCGCUACGGAGACAGUUGCCAAGCAACAUCUCACAUCAGAGAAACCUGCGGCUGGAUGAAUACGAGGAAGAUCCCGAAUAAAAAAAAAACAUCUAUUUUUGUAAAUUCUUGGACAGAUUUCUUCAUGUUUUGUUAGAUCAUGGGGUAAUGGUAAAAAAAAUAUAUGGUAUAUAUUUUUGUAUGGAAUGUGUUCAAAAGUUUUAAACGAGA
Molecule: long non-coding RNA, 672 nt
Organism: Bufo bufo (common toad)
Lineage: Eukaryota; Metazoa; Chordata; Amphibia; Anura; Bufonidae
Exons: 4
Source: RefSeq, a predicted model, not a curated record